Molecule: ribosomal RNA, 484 nt
Filed under: uncultured bacterium
Lineage: Bacteria
Description: partial 16S ribosomal RNA
Rfam family: Bacterial small subunit ribosomal RNA
Source: RNAcentral
AUUGAACGCUGGCGGCAGGCCUAACACAUGCAAGUCGAGCGGAUGAAGGGAGCUUGCUCCUGGAUUCAGCGGCGGACGGGUGAGUAAUGCCUAGGAAUCUGCCUGGUAGUGGGGGAUAACGUCCGGAAACGGGCGCUAAUCCCGCAUACGUCCUGAGGGAGAAAGUGGGGGAUCUUCGGACCUCACGCUAUCAGAUGAGCCUAGGUCGGAUUAGCUAGUUGGUGGGGUAAAGGCCUACCAAGGCGACGAUCCGUAACUGGUCUGAGAGGAUGAUCAGUCACACUGGAACUGAGACACGGUCCAGACUCCUACGGGAGGCAGCAGUGGGGAAUAUUGGACAAUGGGCGAAAGCCUGAUCCAGCCAUGCCGCGUGUGUGAAGAAGGUCUUCGGAUUGUAAAGCACUGUAAGUUGGGAGGAAGGGCAGUAGGUGAAUACCUUGCUGUUUUGACGGUACCAACAGAAUAAGCACCGGCUAACUUCGUG